This 253-nucleotide ribosomal RNA is filed under the name uncultured bacterium. RNAcentral's name for it is "partial 16S ribosomal RNA". It matches the Rfam family "Bacterial small subunit ribosomal RNA", at positions 524 to 776 of the family's 1533-position model. The record is from RNAcentral.
UACGAAGGGGGCUAGCGUUGCUCGGAAUCACUGGGCGUAAAGCGCACGUAGGCGGCUCCUUAAGUCAGGGGUGAAAUCCUGGAGCUCAACUCCAGAACUGCCCUUGAUACUGAGGAGCUUGAGUCCGGGAGAGGUGAGUGGAACUGCGAGUGUAGAGGUGAAAUUCGUAGAUAUUCGCAAGAACACCAGUGGCGAAGGCGGCUCACUGGCCCGGUACUGACGCUGAGGUGCGAAAGCGUGGGGAGCAAACAGG